AUUGAACGCUGGCGGCAUGCUUUACACAUGCAAGUCGAACGGCAGCGCGGGCUUCGGCCUGGCGGCGAGUGGCGAACGGGUGAGUAAUGCAUCGGAACGUGCCCAGUAGUGGGGGAUAGCCCGGCGAAAGCCGGAUUAAUACCGCAUACGACCUGAGGGUGAAAGCGGGGGACCGAAAGGCCUCGCGCUAUUGGAGCGGCCGAUGUCGGAUUAGCUAGUUGGUGGGGUAAAGGCUUACCAAGGCGACGAUCCGUAGCUGGUCUGAGAGGACGACCAGCCACACUGGGACUUGGACACGGCCCAGACUCCUACGGGAGGCAGCAGUGGGGAAUUUUUGACAAUGGGGGCAACCCUGAUCCAGCCAAGCCGCGUGCGGGAAGGAGGCCUUCGGGUUGGAAACCGCUUUUGUUCGGGAGGAAAACCUCUUGGCUAAUACCCCGGGGGGAUGACGGUACCGGAAGAAUAAGCACCGGCUAACUACGCG
RNAcentral lists this ribosomal RNA (484 nucleotides) under uncultured bacterium. RNAcentral's name for it is "partial 16S ribosomal RNA". It matches the Rfam family "Bacterial small subunit ribosomal RNA", at positions 28 to 507 of the family's 1533-position model. The record is from RNAcentral.